Molecule: long non-coding RNA, 1012 nt
Organism: Cyprinus carpio carpio
Lineage: Eukaryota; Metazoa; Chordata; Actinopteri; Cypriniformes; Cyprinidae
Source: Ensembl
CAAAAAUGUGAUGCUUUGUGGCGUGGUCAAGAUUUUAUUAGUCCAUCAUUACCUGGUGGUUUGCAGUGGGGGAGAGAGGGGUUUAAAUAUUUAGGUGAUUUUCUAGGGACAGAUGAAAAAAAAAAAAAAAUAUAAAAAAAAAUGGGGAGGGACUAGUGGAAAUAGUGUGUGCUCGGUUGUCUCACUGGAAAUGGUUGCUACCCCAGCUGUCCUAUAGGGGGAGAACCCUGGUCUGUAAUAACCUGGUGGCAUCAUCUUUGUGGCACAAAAUGAUGAUUUUAGAGCCUCCGGAAGACCUGGUAAGAAGAAUUCAACAGUGCCUGUUGGAUUUCGUCUGGUCAGGACAGCACUGGUUGAAGGCACCAGUGCUCUAUCUGCCAAUACAGGAAGGAGGACAAGGGUUGGUCGACAUUAAAUCCUGAGUCAGAGCUUUUAGACUCAAUAUGGGUUUAGACCGACAUCUGUUUCUGAUGGACACUGACAAACUAAACCUGACAGGAUUGACACCUUUUUAAAGAUCAAUGUUAAAUACAUGGACAUUUUUCAGUUUCUCUCGGGAGCCAAAUGGUGUGAAGGGGCUAUGGCUGAGAGAAGAACCACUGUUUUUUAAUAAAAGCACUGGAUUUAGAUGCUUCUAAACCAAGAUCCCUCAGAAAAAUGCUGUGGACUGCAAAUAUGACCAAAAUUGGACAUUUUGUUUCUGAAGAAGGAUGGAUUUCUGCUGAACGUUUGGCUUUAAAACUGGGUAUGAGAUCAGUCAGAGUGGCAGACUGUUGACUCAAAUCUUUGAGUUUUUACCACCUGAUUAUAGACUGUUAUUAGAGACACCGGUUGAAGAGGAGGAGUUUUCUGUCUUCCCGGACCUGAAUUUUUCAGCUGAUUUUAGAACAUGGGAAGAAAUGGAAAAUGGAUUGCUUUUUUUUUUCAGACACUGUACUGUGUCUGUAUGUACUGUGUGUAAAGGUGUCUCAUCUUCUUCAGCUUCAGAAUGUGAAGGAGUCUAAGUGGCAGG